GGUCGCACGGCGGUCUGACAGGU
RNAcentral lists this small nuclear RNA (23 nucleotides) under Arabidopsis thaliana (thale cress). RNAcentral's name for it is "snRNA_15372". Lineage: Eukaryota; Viridiplantae; Streptophyta; Magnoliopsida; Brassicales; Brassicaceae. The record is from RNAcentral.